RNAcentral lists this ribosomal RNA (484 nucleotides) under uncultured bacterium. Its description in RNAcentral is "partial 16S ribosomal RNA". It matches the Rfam family "Bacterial small subunit ribosomal RNA", at positions 30 to 507 of the family's 1533-position model. The record is from RNAcentral.
AUUGAACGCUGGCGGCAUGCCUUACACAUGCAAGUCGAACGGUAGCGCGGACCUCGGUCUGGCGGCGAGUGGCGAACGGGUGAGUAAUACAUCGGAACGUACCCGGUUGUGGGGGAUAACCAGUCGAAAGAUUAGCUAAUACCGCAUACGACCUGUUGGAGAAAGUGGGGGAUCGCAAGGCCUCACGCAGCAGGAUCGGUCGAUGUCUGAUUAGCUAGUUGGUGGGGUAAAGGCCCACCAAGGCGACGAUCAGUAGCUAGUCUGAGAGGAAGAUCAGCCACACUGGCACUGAGACACGGCCCAGACUCCUACGGGAGGCAACAGUGGGGAAUUUUGGACAAUGGGGGCAAGCCUGAUCCAGCAAUGCCGCGUGUGUGAAGAAGGCCUUCGGGUUGUAAAGCACUUUUGUCCGGAAGGAAGUCGCGCUGUUUAAUACCUGGCGUGGAUGACGGUACCGGAAGAAUAAGCACCGGCUAACUACGUG